GGUUAAGACGCGAUGACGUGUCGGUGGCUGAGUGGUCGAAAAUAAAGACAAAACAAAAACAAAAAAUUCACGCCUGUUUUUUUUUUGUUUUUCCAUUUGGUUGUGUCUCUCUCUCUUUCUCUUUCUCUUCUCGACAUUUUCUUCAAACUGCGAAAUCUCUUCAAAGGUGGAGACCAUCGGCGACGGCGAGGGUUCACCAAAUCAGACAUUUUGGUUAUAGGAUGCUCCAAUCUACUUCCCAUGUUAUGGUAAUGAGAAUUUUGAUAUGGUGACAUUUGAUGAAUCAUGCCAGUGGAGAGGACUUUUCUAUGGAACAGAUUGAUAGUUAUGGUAAUGAAACCGUGUGUGGUGCACUCAAGGUAUUGACUGCAAUGGUUAUCUGUUGUAAUGUGUUUUAUUGAGCAAAUGAUAAUACUAGCAAUUCUUUAAAUUCAUAUUUCAUCUCUCUCUGUAACAUCUUCUCCUUUGUGACAUUCAAAUGCAAAUGCUGUAAUGUGUUUUAUUGAUGGUUGCUUGUAUUGUAAGACAUUGUUUUGCAACAAUUUGAAUUAUUUUUUCUUAAGAA
This is a long non-coding RNA of Arabidopsis lyrata subsp. lyrata, 565 nucleotides long. RefSeq lists it as uncharacterized. Lineage: Eukaryota; Viridiplantae; Streptophyta; Magnoliopsida; Brassicales; Brassicaceae. The transcript has 2 exons. The record is from RefSeq and is a predicted model, not a curated record.